UGGGGAAUAUUGCACAAUGGAGGGAACUCUGAUGCAGCGACGCCGCGCGAGUGAUGAAGGAAUUCGUUUCGUAAAACUCUGUUCUAUGGGAAGAAAAGGACUGUACCAUAGGAGAAAGCUCCGGCUAAAUACGUGCCAGCAGCCGCGGUAAUACGUAUGGAGCGAGCGUUGUCCGGAAUUAUUGGGCGUAAAGGGUGCGCAGGCGGCUUUACAAGUUGGAUGUGAAAUAUUGUGGCUCAACCACAAACGUGCAUCCAAAACUGCAAAGCUUGAGUUAAGGAGAGGUAAGUGGAAUUCCUGGUGUAGCGGUGGAAUGCGUAGAUAUCAGGGGGAGUACCGGUGGCGAAGGCGACUUACUGGACUUAAACUGACGCUCAGGCACGAAAGCGUGGGGAGCAAACAGG
This 404-nucleotide ribosomal RNA is filed under the name Fusobacteriota bacterium. RNAcentral describes it as "Fusobacteria bacterium partial 16S ribosomal RNA". It matches the Rfam family "Bacterial small subunit ribosomal RNA", at positions 355 to 776 of the family's 1533-position model. The record is from RNAcentral. Lineage: Bacteria; Fusobacteriati; Fusobacteriota.